UGAAACUGCAAGGCUGUUUUACAUGCCUUUUUGUCCUCUUUUGCACAAGGAGCCUCUGCAUUUGAAUCCCUUAACGCCCCACAGCUGUCAUGCUAGCAAGACCCAGGAAACUUUAGUAUUUCAGCCACUCUGCCUCCAGCGGCUGAUCUGUUUGAAGGCUGAGGGUAUAGGGGAAAAGCUGCUGGACUUCAAGGACACGAUGAAAUUUGGUAAGAAAGCAGUAGCUGAAGGAGUAUGA
Phasianus colchicus (ring-necked pheasant) is the source of this 238-nucleotide long non-coding RNA. Lineage: Eukaryota; Metazoa; Chordata; Aves; Galliformes; Phasianidae. The record is from Ensembl.